Molecule: ribosomal RNA, 355 nt
Filed under: uncultured bacterium
Lineage: Bacteria
Description: bacterial SSU rRNA
Rfam family: Bacterial small subunit ribosomal RNA
Source: RNAcentral
GGACCCGCACAAGUAGUGGAGCAUGUGGUUUAAUUCGAAGAUACGCGCAGAACCUUACCAACACUUGACAUGUUCGUCGCGACUUUAAGAGAUUAAAGUUUUCGGUUCGGCCGGACGAAACACAGGUGCUGCAUGGCUGUCGUCAGCUCGUGUCGUGAGAUGUUGGGUUAAGUCCCGCAACGAGCGCAACCCUCACUUUUAGUUGCCAUCAUUUAGUUGGGCACUCUGAAAGAACUGCCAGUGAUAAGCUGGAGGAAGGUGGGGAUGACGUCAAAGUCCUCAUGGCCCUUACGUGUUGGGCUACACACGUGCUACAAUGGUAUCUACAACAGGAAGCAAGAACGGCGACGUUUAG